RNAcentral lists this ribosomal RNA (253 nucleotides) under uncultured bacterium. Its description in RNAcentral is "partial 16S ribosomal RNA". It matches the Rfam family "Bacterial small subunit ribosomal RNA", at positions 524 to 776 of the family's 1533-position model. The record is from RNAcentral.
AACGUAGGAGGCGAGCGUUAUUCGGAUUUACUGGGCGUAAAGCGCGUGCAGGCGGCUAUGUAAGUCGGACGUUAAAUCUCUUGGCUCAACUGAGAGGGGUCGUUCGGAACUGCGUAGCUUGAGGUCGGGAGAGGGAAGUGGAAUUCCCGGUGUAGUGGUGGAAUGCGUAGAUAUCGGGAGGAACACCAGUGGCGAAAGCGGCUUCCUGGCCCGCACCUGACGCUAAGACGCGAAAGCGUGGGGAGCGAACGGG